Molecule: ribosomal RNA, 496 nt
Filed under: uncultured bacterium
Lineage: Bacteria
Description: partial 16S ribosomal RNA
Rfam family: Bacterial small subunit ribosomal RNA
Source: RNAcentral
AUGAACGCUGGCGGCGUGCCUAAUACAUGCAAGUCGAGCGAACAGACGAGGAGCUUGCUCCUCUGACGUUAGCGGCGGACGGGUGAGUAACACGUGGAUAACCUACCUAUAAGACUGGGAUAACUUCGGGAAACCGGAGCUAAUACCGGAUAAUAUAUUGAACCGCAUGGUUCAAUAGUGAAAGACGGUUUUGCUGUCACUUAUAGAUGGAUCCGCGCCGCGUUAGCUAGUUGGUAAGGUAACGGCUUACCAAGGCAACGAUGCGUAGCCGACCUGAGAGGGUGAUCGGCCACACUGGAACUGAGACACGGUCCAGACUCCUACGGGAGGCAGCAGUAGGGAAUCUUCCGCAAUGGGCGAAAGCCUGACGGAGCAACGCCGCGUGAGUGAUGAAGGUCUUCGGAUCGUAAAACUCUGUUAUUAGGGAAGAACAAAUGUGUAAGUAACUAUGCACGUCUUGACGGUACCUAAUCAGAAAGCCACGGCUAACUACGUG